GACGGAGGGUGCUAGCGUUGUUCGGAAUUACUGGGCGUAAAGGGCGCGUAGGCGGCCGUUUGCGUCGGAUGUGAAAGCCCGGGGCUCAACCCCGGAACGGCAUCCGAUACGGGACGGCUGGAGACCGGGAGAGGAGGGUGGAAUAGCCAGUGUAGAGGUGAAAUUCGUAGAUAUUGGCUGGAACACCGGUGGCGAAAGCGGCUCUCUGGCACGGUUCUGACGCUGAGGCGCGAAAGCGUGGGGAGCAAACAGG
Molecule: ribosomal RNA, 253 nt
Filed under: uncultured bacterium
Lineage: Bacteria
Description: partial 16S ribosomal RNA
Rfam family: Bacterial small subunit ribosomal RNA
Source: RNAcentral